RNAcentral lists this transfer RNA (89 nucleotides) under Candida maltosa Xu316. It matches the Rfam family "tRNA". Rfam says of the family: Transfer RNA (tRNA) molecules are approximately 80 nucleotides in length. Their secondary structure includes four short double-helical elements and three loops (D, anti-codon, and T loops). Lineage: Eukaryota; Fungi; Ascomycota; Pichiomycetes; Serinales; Debaryomycetaceae. The record is from Rfam by way of RNAcentral.
GACUGGGUGGCCAAGUUGGUUAAGGCGUGAGACUGUUAGAGUUUUCUAUUGCAAUCUCAAGAUCGAGAGUUCGACCCUCUCCCUGGUCG